AUUGAACGCUGGCGGCAGGCCUAACACAUGCAAGUCGAGCGGAUGAAGGGAGCUUGCUCCUGGAUUCAGCGGCGGACGGGUGAGUAAUGCCUAGGAAUCUGCCUGGUAGUGGGGGAUAACGUCCGGAAACGGGCGCUAAUACCGCAUACGUCCUGAGGGUGAAAGUGUGGGAUCUUCGGACCUCACGCUAUAAGAUGAGCCUAGGUCGGAUUAGCUAGUUGGUGGGGUAAAGGCCUACCAAGGCGACGAUCCGUAACUGGUCUGAGAGGAUGAUCAGUCACACUGGAACUGAGACACGGUCCAGAAUCCUACGGGAGGCAGCAGUGGGGAAUAUUGGACAAUGGGCGAAAGCCUGAUCCAGCCAUGCCGCGUGUGUGAAGAAGGUCUUCGGAUUGUAAAGCACUUUAAGUUGGGAGGAAGGGCAGUAAGUUAAUACCUUGCUGUUUUGACGUUACCAACAGAAUAAGCACCGGCUAACUUCGUG
RNAcentral lists this ribosomal RNA (484 nucleotides) under uncultured bacterium. RNAcentral's name for it is "partial 16S ribosomal RNA". It matches the Rfam family "Bacterial small subunit ribosomal RNA", at positions 30 to 507 of the family's 1533-position model. The record is from RNAcentral.